UGGACAAAUUAUUGUAUUCGACUGUAUUCACGGUGUGAAACAUGGGAUUACACUGUUUUUAAACGGAAAGUGAAUCAAUUAACACAAUAGACUCCU
MicroRNA precursor from Nicotiana attenuata, 96 nucleotides. It matches the Rfam family "MIR6152 microRNA precursor family". The record is from Rfam. NCBI's taxonomy places the organism in Eukaryota, Viridiplantae, Streptophyta, Magnoliopsida, Solanales, Solanaceae.